Molecule: transfer RNA, 65 nt
Filed under: Gyrodactylus kobayashii
Lineage: Eukaryota; Metazoa; Platyhelminthes; Monogenea; Gyrodactylidea; Gyrodactylidae
Description: tRNA-Trp
Rfam family: tRNA
About the family: Transfer RNA (tRNA) molecules are approximately 80 nucleotides in length. Their secondary structure includes four short double-helical elements and three loops (D, anti-codon, and T loops).
Source: RNAcentral
AGAGGUUUACGUUAAUAUAGACGAUUUGUUUUCAAAACAAAAAGUGCUGGUUAAAGCAUCCUUUG